UACGAGGGGGGCAAGCGUUGUUCGGAAUUAUUGGGCGUAAAGGGCGCGUAGGCGGUGCGGUAAGUCACCUGUGAAACCUCUAGGCUUAACCUAGAGCCUGCAGGCGAAACUGCCGUGCUUGAGGGUGGGAGAGGUGCGUGGAAUUCCCGGUGUAGCGGUGAAAUGCGUAGAUAUCAAGUGGAACACCAGUGGCGAAGGCGAGUCCCUGGACAACUCCUGACACUGAGGCACGAAAGCUAGGGGAGCAAACAGG
RNAcentral lists this ribosomal RNA (253 nucleotides) under uncultured bacterium. RNAcentral describes it as "partial 16S ribosomal RNA". It matches the Rfam family "Bacterial small subunit ribosomal RNA", at positions 524 to 776 of the family's 1533-position model. The record is from RNAcentral.